ACAGCGAGUGCGGGAGAGCCGACGGGGCCGAGGCCGCCGACGGCACCGAAGGAGCAAGCCUCCCCGCCAAUCUCUCAGGUACGCGUACCGCUCUCGCCAG
This 100-nucleotide non-coding RNA is filed under the name Yonghaparkia sp. Root332. Its description in RNAcentral is "Glycine riboswitch aptamer". It matches the Rfam family "Glycine riboswitch aptamer". Rfam says of the family: This family represents the bacterial glycine riboswitch. Glycine riboswitches usually consist of two metabolite-binding aptamers domains with similar structures in tandem. The aptamers cooperatively bind glycine to regulate the expression of downstream genes. The record is from Rfam by way of RNAcentral. RNAcentral also lists the same sequence under 1 other name. Lineage: Bacteria; Bacillati; Actinomycetota; Actinomycetes; Micrococcales; Microbacteriaceae.